Molecule: non-coding RNA, 48 nt
Organism: Schistosoma mansoni
Lineage: Eukaryota; Metazoa; Platyhelminthes; Trematoda; Strigeidida; Schistosomatidae
Source: Rfam
ACCCAGCUGAAGAGUCCAAAAUUGGACGAAGCGACGCGCGUCCUGGAU